CCAGACUUCAUUUAAGGAUUGGUAGGGGAGGCAAGAAUAUCUUGCUUGGAGAUCUUUGUUUAUCUGAGGCCUUUCAAAGAAUGCUACAAAUACAGAAGAUGUUUUGCAAGUAAAUCAUGACCAAGCCAUGACUGAGUGCAGUAUGUGACUUUGGCACAUUAUUUUGUGACUUUGUGCUGAUGGAGAAGGCACAAGUUUUUCUCUGCAGGAGUGCCUGCCCUUUGCCAAGUGUCACUGCAAAGCACAGAGAAGAAAGAGGGUUUGUAUAUAUGGAGAAGACACCACAUGUCUAGUGAUACAAAUGGAAAAGGUUUCACUGAUUUCUUCAGUACUCAAUAAGAAUACUGCAUGCUUUCAUCUACUUGCUGUAAUCUGCACACUUUCAGGACACCGUGACAAAAAUCAAGGAUCAAUUCGUCCUCUUUUUCUUCCCCCAUUUGAAAAGUGACAAUAAAGCAUCUUUCUGCAAUAACUUCACAUUCAGUUAGAAUGAAGGAAAUAAUGACAGCUUCACAAAGCAGUUUGUGCAAAUUAUAUUCUAAGUGACCUUUGGGGAUUUGGGUUGUUUUGGCUUGAAGAAUACCUACAGCUGCACUCUAGGGAAAGUUCCAAGAAGUAUCUUAGUCAUUAUCUGAGUGAAAAGCUAUCAACUGAAAUGAAUAUACUUAAAUUGCCCUAGUCUUUUCCUAGGAACUUGAUUCAUUAUUUCGUUUUCAAGCUUGUUGGGAAAGACCUGACUUAGUUGGAGAUAAAUACCUCACUUCAGUUUCACAAGAUAAUCAGAACUGAAUUCAGGCUAUGAUUGCUAAAUAUCCCUCUAUUGGAAGAAUGAUUUGAUGGACAAUUCUUUCCACUUUACAGACUGAGAUUCUGCUAUCUGAUGAACUAAGCCUAAAAUCCAGUUCUGCUGGAGAUCUUGGAGAUCAAUUUUCUUGUACGUUGGAGUAAAUAAAAAGAUAAGCUGUGCUCUAGACUUUGUUCCAUUUUAGGAGCUGUUUUGUUUUUAAAGAUCUAUGCCUGGGAAGUUUUUUGAGAGGUUGUUUGAGAGGCUAACUUACUUUUCAUGGAAAAUCUUAAAAAUAUUUAUAACUCAUGAUGAAAAAAGAGAUAUGCCAGAAAAUUCUCAGAGAACACAUUCAGUACUCAGAGCAAAGUUGUAAUUUGGCUGGGGUUGGGGAGGAGAAGUACUGCACUUUUUUUGUCCUUGAGAGGACUUAGUUUUUGCUAUGACCACAAAUCUCCAUUCAACCUGAUCUGUGAGACCCCUGUUCAUUGACAUACUAAAGAUCAGCCUUGAACUGCUCUUAUUCCUUGAAGAAUUGAGAA
This is a long non-coding RNA of Lagopus muta (rock ptarmigan), 1326 nucleotides long. RefSeq lists it as uncharacterized. The record is from RefSeq and is a predicted model, not a curated record. NCBI's taxonomy places the organism in Eukaryota, Metazoa, Chordata, Aves, Galliformes, Phasianidae. The transcript is spliced from 3 exons.